Carlito syrichta (Philippine tarsier) is the source of this 1074-nucleotide long non-coding RNA. RefSeq lists it as uncharacterized. The record is from RefSeq and is a predicted model, not a curated record. The transcript has 2 exons. NCBI's taxonomy places the organism in Eukaryota, Metazoa, Chordata, Mammalia, Primates, Tarsiidae.
CUGUUGGAAUUCCUGGGAGCAGAUUUCUUCCUGUACAUUUUAAAAAGCCAACAAGCAGUCCAAUGAGGUUUGAAGUUGUUAUUGUUUUUGCAAUGCGAACGUGAGCCUUGCUCUGAAUUGCUUCUAGCACUGUUAGAGGUCCUGGGCGUCUGGCAAGUCCUGACUCGGAUCGAGGCAGUGGGGACAGGAAGGAAGCUUUCUGUAUCCAGACCCAGAGAGCCUGCCUGGCAGAGGAAUCAGAGAGAUGGCGAUCUUGUCUUCCCAUCCAGACGGUCUUUUCUCUGGGUAGACUGAAUCUAAACCACAAUUUAUUAAGGAAGAUAAUUUGAAGAAGAUCCUAGAAGAUUCUGGAACACGUCCCCCAUUGGUUCAACAAAUAAAGCACCAAUCUGGCCAGCUACAUCUAAGACCACCAGUGGCAGAGUCGGAAAUACCAAAUUGAUAAAGCUCAAAGCCAAAAAUUAGGGCCUUCUGGUUCUAAAUCAAGCACUCUGUAACUUAGGAAGAAGUCACAUCUCUUGCCUGUGCCUCAAUUUAAUCACAUCUUGAGAAGAUUAUAAUACAAUUUAAAUAAUUUUUUCAUAUUACCCCCACCCCUGUGGUCCAGAAAUAAAUCCUAGAAUCAAGAGCAAGGAAGCAUAAAGUGAAACAGACUCCUUCACUCAUCCUAUCUUUCACCCCUAUGCCUCGCCUCUCCUCUCCUUCCUGAGUAAAGGAAGAGAAAGAAACAUGAAGGAAGAUAGAGAGGAAACUAGGACAGGUGGGAAAAUACAUUAACGGAAGGGUGACACAAUGCCAUUCAGUUUCCUGAUUGCCACUGAACAGGGUCUGAGAUCUGAGUGCUGUGAUGUGAGAUUAUGAGAGUCUUCAGCUCAAUGAUGGGAAGAGUGCAACUUGAUCUACUGGGGGCUAACAUGGAUGAAGUACCCUUAACUCCUCUAGGCUUCAGUUUGCCCACGGAAAUUUCUACCUUCAAUAUUCAGACAGCCGAAGGAAUUUUAAAAUAUAGAUUUAUAUACAUAGAUAUGUGCUUGAGGAACUAAUAGUAUCAUUAAAAUGGAAAAAUUAUGGUUA